RNAcentral lists this ribosomal RNA (493 nucleotides) under uncultured bacterium. RNAcentral's name for it is "partial 16S ribosomal RNA". It matches the Rfam family "Bacterial small subunit ribosomal RNA", at positions 28 to 507 of the family's 1533-position model. The record is from RNAcentral.
GACGAACGCUGGCGGCGUGCUUAACACAUGCAAGUCGAACGGUGAAGCACCUUCCUUUUGGUGGGUGUGGAUGAGUGGCGAACGGGUGAGUAACACGUGAGUAACCUGCCCCCUUCUUCUGGAUAACCGCAUGAAAGUGUGGCUAAUACGGGAUAUUCUGGGUCUGUCGCAUGGCGGGCCUGGGAAAGAUAUUGUUUCGGUGGGGGAUGGGCUCGCGGUCUAUCAGCUUGUGGGUGGGGCGAUGGCCUACCAAGGCGGUGAGGGGUAGCCGGCCUGAGAGGGUGAACGGUCACACAGGGACUGAGACACGGCCCAGACUCCUACGGGAGGCAGCGGUGGGGAAUAGUGCACAAUGGGCGCAAGCCUGAUGCAGCGACGCCGCGUGAGGAAUGGAGGCCUUCGGGUUGUAAACCUCUUUCGCCAGUGAAGCAGGCCUGUCUCUUUUGUGGGUGGGUUGACGGUAGCUGGAUAAGAAGCGCCGGCUAACUACGUG